This 302-nucleotide ribosomal RNA is filed under the name uncultured Dialister sp. Its description in RNAcentral is "bacterial SSU rRNA". It matches the Rfam family "Bacterial small subunit ribosomal RNA", at positions 355 to 649 of the family's 1533-position model. Lineage: Bacteria; Bacillati; Bacillota; Negativicutes; Veillonellales; Veillonellaceae. The record is from RNAcentral.
UGGGGAAUCUUCCGCAAUGGGCGAAAGCCUGACGGAGCAACGCCGCGUGAGUGAUGACGGCCUUCGGGUUGUAAAGCUCUGUGAUCGGGGACGAACGGUCAGCAGACGAAUACUCUGCUGAAGUGACGGUACCCGAAUAGCAAGCCACGGCUAACUACGUGCCAGCAGCCGCGGUAAUACGUAGGUGGCAAGCGUUGUCCGGAAUUAUUGGGCGUAAAGCGCGCGCAGGCGGCUUCUUAAGUCCAUCUUAAAAGUGCGGGGCUUAACCCCGUGAUGGGAUGGAAACUGAGAGGCUGGAGUAU